GUGUCAGCCGCCGCGGUAAUACGUAUGGGGCAAGCGUUGUUCGGAUUCAUUGGGCGUAAAGGGCACGCAGGCGGAUUGCUAAGUUGGAUGUAUAACCUUCAGGCUCAACCUGAAGUCUGCAUCCAAAACUGGCAGUCUAGAGUACCAGAGGGGAAAGCGGAAUUCUCGGUGUAGCGGUGGAAUGCGUAGAUAUCGAGAGGAACACCAGUGGCGAAGGCGGCUUUCUGGCUGGUUACUGACGCUCAUGUGCGAAAGCGUGGGGAGCAAACAGGAUUAGAUACCCUGGUAGUCCACGCCGUAAACGUUGUGUACUAGGUGUUGGGGGUUUCAACGCCCUCAGUGCCGCAGCUAACGCGUUAAGUACACCGCCUGGGGAGUAUGCCCGCAAGGGUGAAACUUAAAGGAAUUGGCGGGG
Molecule: ribosomal RNA, 415 nt
Filed under: uncultured prokaryote
Description: bacterial SSU rRNA
Rfam family: Bacterial small subunit ribosomal RNA
Source: RNAcentral